RNAcentral lists this ribosomal RNA (425 nucleotides) under uncultured bacterium. RNAcentral's name for it is "partial 16S ribosomal RNA". It matches the Rfam family "Bacterial small subunit ribosomal RNA", at positions 354 to 796 of the family's 1533-position model. The record is from RNAcentral.
GUGGGGAAUCUUGCGCAAUGGGCGAAAGCCUGACGCAGCCAUGCCGCGUGAAUGAUGAAGGUCUUAGGAUUGUAAAAUUCUUUCACCGGGGACGAUAAUGACGGUACCCGGAGAAGAAGCUCCGGCUAACUUCGUGCCAGCAGCCGCGGUAAUACGAAGGGGGCUAGCGUUGCUCGGAAUUACUGGGCGUAAAGGGCGCGUAGGCGGACAGCUUAGUCAGAGGUGAAAGCCCAGGGCUCAACCUUGGAAUUGCCUUUGAUACUGGCUGUCUUGAGUUUGGGAGAGGUGAGUGGAACUCCGGGUGUAGAGGUGAAAUUCGUAGAUAUUCGGAAGAACACCAGUGGCGAAGGCGACUCACUGGCCCAAUACUGACGCUGAGGCGCGAAAGCGUGGGGAGCAAACAGGAUUAGAAACCCGGGUAGUCC